UCAUUUCAACAGUGUAUAUACUAACAUUGGAAUUAGAAGGGAAGAUUGGUGUGGCCCCUGCCCAAGGAUGACAUGCAAAUUCAUGAAAUUUUUUAAGAUUUU
This is a small nuclear RNA of Fukomys damarensis (Damara mole-rat), 102 nucleotides long. NCBI's taxonomy places the organism in Eukaryota, Metazoa, Chordata, Mammalia, Rodentia, Bathyergidae. The record is from Ensembl.